GACGAACGCUGGCGGCGUGCUUAACACAUGCAAGUCGAACGGAAAGGCCCUGCUUUUGUUGGGUGCUCGAGUGGCGAACGGGUGAGUAACACGUGAGUAACCUGCCCUUGACUUUGGGAUAACUUCUGGAAACUGGGGCUAAUACCGCAUAGGAGCUCCUGCUGCAUGGUGGGGGUUGGAAAGUUUCGGCGGUUGGGGAUGGACUCGCGGCUUAGCAGCUUGUUGGUGGGGUAGUGGCUUACCCAGGCUUUGACGGGUAGCCGGCCUGAGAGGGUGACCGGCCACAUUGGGACUGAGAUACGGCCCAGACUGCUACGGGGGGCAGCAGUGGGGAACAUUGCACAAUGGGCGGAGGCCGGAUGCAGCAACGCCGCGUGCGGGAUGACGGCCUUCGGGGUGUAAACCGCUUGCGCCUGUGACGAAGCGUGAGUGACGGUAAUGGGUAAAGAAGCACCGGCUAACUACGUG
RNAcentral lists this ribosomal RNA (468 nucleotides) under uncultured bacterium. Its description in RNAcentral is "partial 16S ribosomal RNA". It matches the Rfam family "Bacterial small subunit ribosomal RNA", at positions 28 to 507 of the family's 1533-position model. The record is from RNAcentral.